UUAAGUUCAGCGGGUAUCCCUACCUGAUCCGAGGUCAAGCGUAAAAAGGGUAGACUUUGUGGAUGCCACCGCUCCAAGACGGAAGCGCAAAAUGUGCUGCGCUCCCACCUAGGACGGCUGGCUGCCAAUGCAUUUGAGGCGAGUUCGCGCGCGCAGCGGAACAAACGCCCAACACCCAGCAGGGCUGGAGGGUACAAAUG
This 200-nucleotide unclassified non-coding RNA is filed under the name Pleosporales sp. RNAcentral describes it as "partial internal transcribed spacer 2". Lineage: Eukaryota; Fungi; Ascomycota; Dothideomycetes; Pleosporales. The record is from RNAcentral.